GCCUUGGUGGCGAAAUUGGUAGACGCGCUAGCUUCAGGAGCUAGUUCUCGCGAGGGAUUGGGAGUUCGACUCUCCCCCAAGGCA
Molecule: transfer RNA, 84 nt
Filed under: Candidatus Nomurabacteria bacterium CG1_02_47_685
Lineage: Bacteria; Candidatus Nomuraibacteriota
Also listed under: 7 other names
Description: tRNA-Leu
Rfam family: tRNA
About the family: Transfer RNA (tRNA) molecules are approximately 80 nucleotides in length. Their secondary structure includes four short double-helical elements and three loops (D, anti-codon, and T loops). Further hydrogen bonds mediate the characteristic L-shaped molecular structure. tRNAs have two regions of fundamental functional importance: the anti-codon, which is responsible for specific mRNA codon recognition, and the 3' end, to which the tRNAs corresponding amino acid is attached (by aminoacyl-tRNA synthetases). tRNAs cope with the degeneracy of the genetic code in two manners: having more than one tRNA (with a specific anti-codon) for a particular amino acid; and 'wobble' base-pairing, i.e. permitting non-standard base-pairing at the 3rd anti-codon position.
Source: RNAcentral